This 882-nucleotide long non-coding RNA is filed under the name Homo sapiens (human). RNAcentral describes it as "HSALNT0072650". Lineage: Eukaryota; Metazoa; Chordata; Mammalia; Primates; Hominidae. The record is from RNAcentral.
CAGGACUUAAAAGUAUUCUAGUAGCCAAAUUAGCUAGUAGUCCUUAAUGCUUUUAAGCAUCAGAAAGUGAAAAAUAUCAAAGAACUAUUGCUGCAUUUGAGGAGCUAGAAUGAAGUUUGGUUUGGCUUGAGGAGAAUUGAUGACACCCAGGAGUAUGUGCUGGUUUCCAUUUGGUUCCCAUUCACAGGCAAACGGAAAGUACAUACAGCCUGGGGUAGGUCAGGCCAGCAGAUAUUUAAGUUGUUCAGUAGUGGCUGGGCCUGGGAAUAUGGGGUGAUUUUGAAGAAUUAAGUUCUGCAAAAGAUUCAAGAGUACAAAGCUGUCUUCAUCUUAGUCAAAUGCAGGCAAUCAAUCUGUCCUUUGCAUGUAAUAAACUGGGACCUUAGAAGUGAAGAUUAAAUAAUCUGGGAUGGAAAAUUGGUUGGAGAAGGUCCAGCCUGACCUACAUGUAGACAUUUCUCCUGCCUUGUCUUGUCUCUUGCUACAAAUCAUCCUGCAAGGAUUAGGUAACAGCAACUUCAAUUCACACACCUUUGAAGGAUGGUGACUUCAGCAUUAUCCACGGUGAAAUUCACAGCCAACAAUCAAUACGUAUUUUCAGGCAAAGAACCAUUAUUCAUUUCUGUUAUCGGACAAUCUCAGGCAGAAAUCAUAUCUUUUGUGACUGGAAUGCACAGCAUUUUCAACUGCUUUAUUACUGCAGCUGAGAAUAGGGCUUUGCGCUGACUGGCAUUUAGCUGCUGAAGUUUUCUGGACUGGCAUUUGCAUUGGGGUAUCCAGGACAAGUGUGGGUUUUGAAGGGAAGGGAACGAGGGGGAGAAGAAGGAAAGAAAGAGCCGUCUGCAGGAAAUGAGCCCUCAGGCAAGAGACUAAAAGUCACCA